AGUAUAGCAACUAUACCGUGAACUGCGAAUGGCUCAUUAAAUCAGUUAUCGUUUAUUUGAUAGUACCUUACUACUUGGAUAACCGUGGUAAUUCUAGAGCUAAUACAUGCUAAAAACCGCGACUUCGGAAGCGGUGUAUUUAUUAGAUAAAAAACCAAUGCCCUUCGGGGCUCCUUGGUGAUUCAUAAUAACUUAACGAAUCGCAUGGCCUUGUGCCGGCGAUGGUUCAUUCAAAUUUCUGCCCUAUCAACUUUCGAUGGUAGGAUAGUGGCCUACCAUGGUUUCAACGGGUAACGGGGAAUUAGGGUUCUAUUCCGGAGAGGGAGCCUGAGAAACGGCUACCACAUCCAAGGAAGGCAGCAGGCGCGCAAAUUACCCAAUCCCGACACGGGGAGGUAGUGACAAUAAAUACUGAUACAGGGCUCAUUUGGGUCUUGUAAUUGGAAUGAGUACAAUUUAAAUCCCUUAACGAGGAACAAUUGGAGGGCAAGUCUGGUGCCAGCAGCCGCGGUAAUUCCAGCUCCAAUAGCGUAUAUUAAAGUUGUUGCAGUUAAAAAGCUCGUAGUUGAACCUUGGGCCUGGCUGGCCGGUCCGCCUCACCGCGUGCACUGGUCCGGCCGGGCCUUUCCUUCUGGGGAGCCGCAUGCCCUUCACUGGGUGUGUCGGGGAACCAGGACUUUUACUUUGAAAAAAUUAGAGUGUUCAAAGCAGGCCUAUGCUCGAAUACAUUAGCAUGGAAUAAUAGAAUAGGACGUGUGGUUCUAUUUUGUUGGUUUCUAGGACCGCCGUAAUGAUUAAUAGGGAUAGUCGGGGGCAUCAGUAUUCAAUUGUCAGAGGUGAAAUUCUUGGAUUUAUUGAAGACUAACUACUG
This 871-nucleotide ribosomal RNA is filed under the name Helotiales sp. RNAcentral's name for it is "SSU rRNA". It matches the Rfam family "Eukaryotic small subunit ribosomal RNA", at positions 62 to 945 of the family's 1831-position model. Lineage: Eukaryota; Fungi; Ascomycota; Leotiomycetes; Helotiales. The record is from RNAcentral.